GAUGAACGCUGGCGGCGUGCCUAAUACAUGCAAGUCGAGCGAACAGACGAGGAGCUUGCUCCUCUGACGUUAGCGGCGGACGGGUGAGUAACACGUGGAUAACCUACCUAUAAGACUGGGAUAACUUCGGGAAACCGGCGCUAAUACCGGAUAAUAUAUUGCACCGCGUGGUUCAAUAGUGAAAGACGGCUUUGCUGUCACUUAUAGAUGGAUCCGCGCCGCAUUAGCUAGUUGGUACGGUAACGGCUUACCAAGGCUACGAUGCGUAGCCGACCGAACCGGGGGGUCGGCGACACUGGAGCUGGGACACGGUCAAUACGCCUGCGGGAGGGAGCAGUAGGGAAUGUGCCGCAAUGGGCGAAAGCCUGACGGAGCAAGGCCGCGUGAGUUGUGACGGUCUUCGGAUCGUAAAACUCUGUUAUUAGUGAAGAACAAAUGUGUAAGUAACUGUGCACGUAGUGACGGUACCUAGUCAGAAAGCCACGGCUAACUACGUG
This 497-nucleotide ribosomal RNA is filed under the name uncultured bacterium. RNAcentral describes it as "partial 16S ribosomal RNA". It matches the Rfam family "Bacterial small subunit ribosomal RNA", at positions 28 to 507 of the family's 1533-position model. The record is from RNAcentral.